GACGAACGCUGGCGGCGUGCUUAACACAUGCAAGUCGAACGGAAAGGCCCUGCUUGCAGGGUACUCGAGUGGCGAACGGGUGAGUAACACGUGGGUGAUCUGCCCUGCACUUCGGGAUAAGCCUGGGAAACUGGGUCUAAUACCGGAUAGGAGCCAUUUUUAGUGUGAUGGUUGGAAAGUUUUUUCGGUGUAGGAUGAGCUCGCGGCCUAUCAGCUUGUUGGUGGGGUAAUGGCCUACCAAGGCGGCGACGGGUAGCCGGCCUGAGAGGGUGGACGGCCACAUUGGGACUGAGAUACGGCCCAGAUUCCUACGGGAGGCAGCAGUGGGGAAUAUUGCACAAUGGGCGCAAGCCUGAUGCAGCGACGCCGCGUGGGGGAUGACGGCCUUCGGGUUGUAAACUCCUUUCGCUAGGGACGAAGCUUUUUGUGACGGUACCUAGAGAAGAAGCACCGGCUAACUACGUG
RNAcentral lists this ribosomal RNA (465 nucleotides) under uncultured bacterium. RNAcentral's name for it is "partial 16S ribosomal RNA". It matches the Rfam family "Bacterial small subunit ribosomal RNA", at positions 28 to 507 of the family's 1533-position model. The record is from RNAcentral.